AUGCAAGUCGAGGGGUAACAGGGUGCUUGCACCGCUGACGACCGGCGCACGGGUGCGUAACGCGUAUACAAUCUACCUUAUAGAGGGGGAUAGCCCAGAGAAAUUUGGAUUAAUACCCCAUAGUAUUAUGAAAUAGCAUUAUUUUAUAAUUAAACAUUUAUGGCUAUAAGAUGAGUAUGCGUUCUAUUAGUUAGUAGGUAAGGUAACGGCUUACCUAGACUUCGAUAGAUAGGGGUCCUGAGAGGGAGAUCCCACACACUGGUACUGAGACACGGACCAGACUCCUACGGGAGGCAGCAGUGAGGAAUAUUGGACAAUGGGCGAGAGCCUGAUCCAGCCAUGCCGCGUGCAGGAAGACGGCCCUAUGGGUUGUAAACUGCUUUUACAGAGGAAGAAACACUCCCUUGCGAGGGAGCUUGACGGUACCCUGCGAAUAAGGAUCGGCUAACUCCGUGCCAGCAGCCGCGGUAAUACGGAGGAUCCAAGCGUUAUCCGGAAUCAUUGGGUUUAAAGGGUCCGUAGGCGGGACAAUCAGUCAGCGGUGAAAGUCUGCGGCUCAACCAUAGAAUUGCCAUUGAUACUGUUGUUCUUGAAUACUUAUGAAGUGGUUGGAAUAUGUAGUGUAGCGGUGAAAUGCAUAGAUAUUACAUAGAACACCGAUUGCGAAGGCAGAUCACUAAUAAUUUAUUGACGCUGAUGGACGAAAGCGUAGGUAGCGAACAGGAUUAGAUACCCUGGUAGUCUACGCCGUAAACGAUGGUUACUAGCUGUUCGGGAGCAAUCCUGAGUGGCUAAGCGAAAGUGAUAAGUAACCCACCUGGGGAGUACGUUCGCAAGAAUGAAACUCAAAGGAAUUGACGGGGGCCCGCACAAGCGGUGGAGCAUGUGGUUUAAUUCGAUGAUACGCGAGGAACCUUACCAGGGCUUAAAUGUAGUUUGACCGAUUUGGAAACAGAUCUUUCGCAAGACAAAUUACAAGGUGCUGCAUGGUUGUCGUCAGCUCGUGCCGUGAGGUGUCAGGUUAAGUCCUAUAACGAGCGCAACCCCUGUUGUUAGUUGCCAUCGAGUAAUGUCGGGAACUCUAACAAGACUGCCAGUGCAAACUGUGAGGAAGGUGGGGAUGACGUCAAAUCAUCACGGCCCUUACGUCCUGGGCCACACACGUGCUACAAUGGUAGGGACAGAGAGCAGCCACUGCGCAAGCAGGAGCGAAUCUAUAAACCCUAUCUCAGUUCGGAUCGGAGUCUGCAACUCGACUCCGUGAAGCUGGAAUCGCUAGUAAUCGCAUAUCAGCCAUGAUGCGGUGAAUACGUUCCCGGGCCUUGUACACACCGCCCGUCAAGCCAUGGAAGCUGGAAGCACCUGAAGUCCGUCACCGCAAGGAGCGGCCUA
This 1392-nucleotide ribosomal RNA is filed under the name Flavobacterium sp. enrichment culture clone BF64A_C59. RNAcentral's name for it is "bacterial SSU rRNA". It matches the Rfam family "Bacterial small subunit ribosomal RNA". Lineage: Bacteria; Pseudomonadati; Bacteroidota; Flavobacteriia; Flavobacteriales; Flavobacteriaceae. The record is from RNAcentral.